GACGAACGCUGGCGGCGUGCUUAACACAUGCAAGUCGAACGGAAAGGCCCUGCUUUUGUGGGGUGCUCGAGUGGCGAACGGGUGAGUAACACGUGAGUAACCUGCCCUUGACUUUGGGAUAACUUCAGGAAACUGGGGCUAAUACCGGAUAGGCGCUCCUGCUGCAUGGUGGGGGUUGGAAAGUUUCGGCGGUUGGGGAUGGACUCGCGGCUUAUCAGCAUGUUGGUGGGGUAGUGGCUUACCAAGGCUUUGACGGGUAGCCGGCCUGAGAGGGUGACCGGCCACAUUGGGACUGAGAUACGGCCCAGACUCCUACGGGAGGCAGCAGUGGGGAAUAUUGCACAAUGGGCGGAAGCCUGAUGCAGCAACGCCGCGUGCGGGAUGACGGCCUUCGGGUUGUAAACCGCUUUCGCCUGUGACGAAGCGUGAGUGACGGUAAUGGGUAAAGAAGCACCGGCUAACUACGUG
Molecule: ribosomal RNA, 468 nt
Filed under: uncultured bacterium
Lineage: Bacteria
Description: partial 16S ribosomal RNA
Rfam family: Bacterial small subunit ribosomal RNA
Source: RNAcentral